UGUGGGCCUCCGGAGAGUUCAGUCUGCGCCGCUGAAGGUCGGCCGGAGCGCCGCCGAAGCUGCAGCAACACGCAGAUGUUGAAUGUGGCGCGGAGCUGUUGACCAUGAGAUGUUUGUCUAUCUGGACCGUCCUGCAGCGUCCUCCCUGCACACAGAGACAGGAGGACGAUUGUUCCGAUGCUUUCUGCACUUUUCACACAUGGAGAAAUCCAGAAUUAAACUUAAGUCCUCAGAAUCCUACAAAAAAACCUCUGACGGCACAUUCAGCCUCAGCAAACACAACUGCAACGCUCCAAUCUAAGGAUUUACUCUCUUUCUUACUUUCUUUGGAAGUUGUGAAACAUGAAAGACACCAAUGGGCUCCUGUGAUGAUUGCAUCAAUUAUCUUCAAUUUUGCAGCUUCACAGCUGCUGCUGGGUUUAUUUCUGCACGGCAGAAAAGAUCGGUAGGAUGAAUCACGUUUUUAAGAACUUUGUGCUGCACUAGAGGAAGCGGAGGCCAGAGUUACAGUUGAUCUUUCAGCUUCAGCUGCUGGUGUUUAAUGUAAACAUGGAGGAGGGCUCGUUACCCUGAAAAGCUGUGGUUCAUGGAACCAAUGAGGAAUUAUUUAAAGGGAACCGGUCCGUCUGCAGGGAACCUGUUUCUGGAACAGGAAGCUGGACCGGGGGAGGCGGCGGGUUCUGGAGCUGCCGUCUCUGUGACGGAGCGUCUGUGGUUCCACCUGGAGAACAGCAGCCUGCUAU
Molecule: long non-coding RNA, 743 nt
Organism: Fundulus heteroclitus (mummichog)
Lineage: Eukaryota; Metazoa; Chordata; Actinopteri; Cyprinodontiformes; Fundulidae
Exons: 3
Source: RefSeq, a predicted model, not a curated record